RNAcentral lists this long non-coding RNA (526 nucleotides) under Zostera marina. RNAcentral describes it as "long non-coding RNA (ZMAR_LNC002301)". The record is from RNAcentral. Lineage: Eukaryota; Viridiplantae; Streptophyta; Magnoliopsida; Alismatales; Zosteraceae.
GUUAACCAGUAGGGGUAUUUUGGUAAUUUUUUUUUUAAAAACAGAAAUUAUUUAUAUACUUAUAUAUCUAUCUAUUCCAUGUUUAUAUCCAUGUUUAUAUCCCUGUUUAUAUCCCUGUUUAUAUAAAUAAAAAUAUCAUAAACAAUAUAGUCAUUCAAAAUAGUCAUUCAAAAUAGUAAUGCAAAUAAGUAAUUAAUUCCAUAAUGUAAUUCAAAAUAUCCUAAGCCUAAGAUAUCUAGAUAUCUAGAUAUCAUCAUUUUCUACGUUUUGAGCCCUCCUUGUGUAGGCUCCAAGUCUUUCAUGUAUUCCUAUAGCCUCCUCUACUGUAGCCCAAGUGAGUCCAUCAUCUGUGUACACAAACUCAUUUGAUGGUCCUUCAAUUCCAGUCAUCCAUUCACUAGAGAAGUUCAAUUCUUCAAGGCAUAUGGGAUCAUAUUUGAUUGCACCUUCCUCUUCAAGUAGUUUAGCCCUUUCACUUCUUUCAUGGAGUUUUGCGUUGUAAUUUACGAACACUAGAUCAUUGNNN